This 1328-nucleotide unclassified non-coding RNA is filed under the name Hevea brasiliensis (rubber tree). Lineage: Eukaryota; Viridiplantae; Streptophyta; Magnoliopsida; Malpighiales; Euphorbiaceae. The record is from RNAcentral.
UUCUUCUUUGUUUGUUCUACAUCAGUACAUGAUCAUGCAAAUUUUGUCAGUGGAGGACGAAGUAAAGAAUCAACUAACAGACCUCAGAAGAGAAUUUACGAUGGGAAGGGCAUGAGAUGAUAGGGUUUGAGGAAAUUUUUGUUGUGGGUUUUAAUUGUUUGAUUUUGCUUAUUUGGUGGUUGUGAUUUCCAAGAAUUCAUUUUCGGUGAACACUUUUUGUGGGGCUCUUAUAAAUCAUGUAAGUUUUAAUUGUAAAUUCGUAUAAAUUAUCCUUUUAUUUUAAUAAAAUAUUGAUUUUUAUUAUUUUGUGCUUGUGAUAUCAAUAACAAUUAUAGGCAAGAAUUAUUGUAUAAAUCAUCUUUUUGCUGUAGGUUUCCUAGGGUUGUUAUGAGUAUUGAUGGAUGAAUUGUUGAAGGGUUUCAUAUUUACAAAACAAUGGAGAGAGGGGGAGAGAAAUUUGCAAAAUAAAAGAGGGAAGGGAAAGGGGGAGAGGGGGAGGAAAGAAAAGCAAAAAGAGGAAGGAGAGAGAUAGAGAAAAGAAGGAAUAUACAGGGGUUUAUAACUUGGAAACCUGCUAUAACAGGUUAGAGGAUUAGUUUCUGAAACAAAAUUAAAGUUGGGUGAUAUUAUUACAACAUAUUGAAGUUGAGGGAUGGAAAUGAGACAACCUCCUAAGUUGGAGGACAAUGGAUAAAAAUUACACAAUAAGAACUACAACAAACUGCAGUGUACCAUCAACAACAACAUGUAAACCAAACUUGUGGUACCAACUAAAAAUUAUUAAAUACAAAACCAAAAGGAGUAUGAAUUCCCAAUCCACACCACAAAGAAAGAAAUAGGAUGCACAUGAAGAUUCUGUUUCCAGAUCACAAAGAGCUAGUGACAAGCCUCACAUUUAACACAUGCAUGGAAUUUUCCUGAUCCAAAUGCCCCACCUGGACCGGAGUUCACACCUAUGCCAUUUUUUCCAAACAAAUUCCAUUAUCUGCUAAGAAUGCCAAAGUAUCUACACACCGAUAAAGGAAAGGGAUACACUACCCUAUUGAGUCAGUCAACAUCACCGCUAGUAAAUUGACUCCAUGAGGAGAGACAGCUAGAGCCUAGAGGCAAUUGAAGUGGGGAUACCACCAAUUGUUGAAACAAAAUUGGAAGUAAAUAACAGCAUUGAGAGGGAUACAAGAAGUACUGGGAAAUAUGUAAACAUAUGCAUCUAUAUUUGUGUACGCAUGUAGAUCCACAAUUAUGAGCUGUGAUGGUACACUGGGUCCGGAUGGGGCUUCAAUAGCUAGUAGCACAUAAAGCAUCAUCAUGCCAAAAAAAAAAAAAAU